UGGAGCACGGUAGGGACUUCACAGAAGGAGCUGGCAGAGCCCACUGUGGGCUUGGUCCCUGCACACGGCAUGAGUGUGACAGGGCACAGCUCUGGGACAGGUCACCUGGAUGGUGCGCAGGGAUGAAGGUCGAGAGGAAGGUCACCAGACUGACUGGUGGCUCAGGUGGAGGAGAUGUAGGUUUGGGAUGAGUCACUGGGAAUUGCUUUAGCUUAUCAAACAUUGCUGAACUAAGCUCAUCUUCUAACACCUUUCUCCUUGGAGGAGAGAAGGCUGUGGAGAGACCUCACUGUGGCCUUCCAAUACUUGAAGGGAGCUUAUAAACAGGAGGGGGAAUGGCUGUUUAUGAGAGUGGAUAGUGAUAGGACAAGGGGGAAUGGUCUUAAACUGAGACAGGGGAGGUUUAGGUUGGAUAUUAGGAGGAAGUUUCUCACUCAGAGGGUGGUGACACACUGGCACAGGUUGCCCAAGGAGGCUGUGGAUGCUCCAUCCCUGGAGGCAUUCAAGGCCAGGCUGGAUGUGGCUCUGGGCAGCCUGGGCUGGUGGUUGGUGACCCUGCACAUAGCAGGGGGUUGGAACUGGAUGAGCAUUGUGGUCCUUUUCAACCCAGGCCAUUCUAUGAUUCUAUGAUCCAUCAAAUCUUGAUGAGAGAAAAGCUUCUUAACAAUAGCUGUCUUUCAUCCGAAGUCCAGAUAUUCUGGACAGACGCUUGUCUAACCUUCUAAGAUUCAUCAUCCAUCUAAGAUUCGUCGUAGUUAAUUUUUUUAAGCACUUUAGCAUUUUCCUCACCCUGAAUAUUUUCCAAAUUGUUUACAUCUUUUCUAACAUUAGUGCCCCAAAUUAGACCUUUAGCCCCUUAUGCAUAUGCUUCCUCAGGAAAUAAGUUUUAGAUGAGUAGCUCCUCUCCCUCCUUGUCAUUGUCCUCUCCAGCCCUUGUAGCUCCCCAGUGUCACAGAAUCAUAGAAUACCCAAGGUUGGAAACGAACUCCAAGAUCAUCCAGACCAACCACCCACCUACCACCAAUAUUUCCCAGCUAACCCAUGUCCCUUAGUAACUCAUGUUAUAAUAUUAAAGGAGAAUUAUUUCAAGAAGAAUCUCCGGACAGGGUCUCUG
This 1114-nucleotide long non-coding RNA is filed under the name Gallus gallus (chicken). RNAcentral's name for it is "lncRNA (ENSGALG00010027564.1)". The record is from RNAcentral. Lineage: Eukaryota; Metazoa; Chordata; Aves; Galliformes; Phasianidae.